Molecule: ribosomal RNA, 3013 nt
Filed under: Salmonella enterica subsp. enterica serovar Derby
Lineage: Bacteria; Pseudomonadati; Pseudomonadota; Gammaproteobacteria; Enterobacterales; Enterobacteriaceae
Also listed under: 1 other name
Description: bacterial LSU rRNA
Rfam family: Bacterial large subunit ribosomal RNA
Source: RNAcentral
GGGUUGUGAGGUUAAGCGACUAAGCGUACACGGUGGAUGCCCUGGCAGUCAGAGGCGAUGAAGGGCGUGCUAAUCUGCGAUAAGCGCCGGUAAGGUGAUAUGAACCGUUAUAACCGGCGAUACCCGAAUGGGGAAACCCAGUGUGAUUCGUCACACUAUCAUUAACUGAAUCCAUAGGUUAAUGAGGCGAACCGGGGGAACUGAAACAUCUAAGUACCCCGAGGAAAAGAAAUCAACCGAGAUUCCCCCAGUAGCGGCGAGCGAACGGGGAGGAGCCCAGAGCCUGAAUCAGCAUGUGUGUUAGUGGAAGCGUCUGGAAAGGCGCGCGAUACAGGGUGACAGCCCCGUACACAAAAGCGCAUGUGCUGUGAGCUCGAUGAGUAGGGCGGGACACGUGGUAUCCUGUCUGAAUAUGGGGGGACCAUCCUCCAAGGCUAAAUACUCCUGACUGACCGAUAGUGAACCAGUACCGUGAGGGAAAGGCGAAAAGAACCCCGGCGAGGGGAGUGAAAAAGAACCUGAAACCGUGUACGUACAAGCAGUGGGAGCACAGGUUUACCUGUGUGACUGCGUACCUUUUGUAUAAUGGGUCAGCGACUUAUAUUCUGUAGCAAGGUUAACCGUAUAGGGGAGCCGGAGGGAAACCGAGUCUUAACCGGGCGUUAAGUUGCAGGGUAUAGACCCGAAACCCGGUGAUCUAGCCAUGGGCAGGUUGAAGGUUGGGUAACACUAACUGGAGGACCGAACCGACUAAUGUUGAAAAAUUAGCGGAUGACCUGUGGCUGGGGGUGAAAGGCCAAUCAAACCGGGAGAUAGCUGGUUCUCCCCGAAAGCUAUUUAGGUAGCGCCUCGUGAAUUCAUCUCCGGGGGUAGAGCACUGUUUCGGCUAGGGGGCCAUCCCGGCUUACCAACCCGAUGCAAACUGCGAAUACCGGAGAAUGUUAUCACGGGAGACACACGGCGGGUGCUAACGUCCGUCGUGAAGAGGGAAACAACCCAGACCGCCAGCUAAGGUCCCAAAGUCAUGGUUAAGUGGGAAACGAUGUGGGAAGGCCCAGACAGCCAGGAUGUUGGCUUAGAAGCAGCCAUCAUUUAAAGAAAGCGUAAUAGCUCACUGGUCGAGUCGGCCUGCGCGGAAGAUGUAACGGGGCUAAACCAUGCACCGAAGCUGCGGCAGCGAACGUAUCACCCAAGACAACUUUACGGAGUUGACGAUUGACGGAGCGAAGCGACGUCAAAGCGUUCAUUAAAGUCGAGUUGGCUUAGGGAUACGUUCGUUGGGUAGGGGAGCGUUCUGUAAGCCUGUGAAGGUGGCCUGUGAGGGUUGCUGGAGGUAUCAGAAGUGCGAAUGCUGACAUAAGUAACGAUAAAGCGGGUGAAAAGCCCGCUCGCCGGAAGACCAAGGGUUCCUGUCCAACGUUAAUCGGGGCAGGGUGAGUCGACCCCUAAGGCGAGGCCGAAAGGCGUAGUCGAUGGGAAACGGGUUAAUAUUCCCGUACUUGGUGUUACUGCGAAGGGGGGACGGAGAAGGCUAUGUUGGCCGGGCGACGGUUGUCCCGGUUUAAGCGUGUAGGUGUGUGUUCCAGGUAAAUCCGGUUCACUUUAACACUGAGGCGUGACGACGAGGCACUACGGUGCUGAAGCAACAAAUGCCCUGCUUCCAGGAAAAGCCUCUAAGCAUCAGGUAACAUCAAAUCGUACCCCAAACCGACACAGGUGGUCAGGUAGAGAAUACCAAGGCGCUUGAGAGAACUCGGGUGAAGGAACUAGGCAAAAUGGUGCCGUAACUUCGGGAGAAGGCACGCUGACAUGUAGGUGAAGUGAUUUACUCAUGGAGCUGAAGUCAGUCGAAGAUACCAGCUGGCUGCAACUGUUUAUUAAAAACACAGCACUGUGCAAACACGAAAGUGGACGUAUACGGUGUGACGCCUGCCCGGUGCCGGAAGGUUAAUUGAUGGGGUCAGCGCAAGCGAAGCUCCUGAUCGAAGCCCCGGUAAACGGCGGCCGUAACUAUAACGGUCCUAAGGUAGCGAAAUUCCUUGUCGGGUAAGUUCCGACCUGCACGAAUGGCGUAAUGAUGGCCAGGCUGUCUCCACCCGAGACUCAGUGAAAUUGAACUCGCUGUGAAGAUGCAGUGUACCCGCGGCAAGACGGAAAGACCCCGUGAACCUUUACUAUAGCUUGACACUGAACAUUGAGCCUUGAUGUGUAGGAUAGGUGGGAGGCUUUGAAGUGUGGACGCCAGUCUGCAUGGAGCCGACCUUGAAAUACCACCCUUUAAUGUUUGAUGUUCUAACGUGGACCCGUAAUCCGGGUUGCGGACAGUGUCUGGUGGGUAGUUUGACUGGGGCGGUCUCCUCCUAAAGAGUAACGGAGGAGCACGAAGGUUGGCUAAUCCUGGUCGGACAUCAGGAGGUUAGUGCAAUGGCAUAAGCCAGCUUGACUGCGAGCGUGACGGCGCGAGCAGGUGCGAAAGCAGGUCAUAGUGAUCCGGUGGUUCUGAAUGGAAGGGCCAUCGCUCAACGGAUAAAAGGUACUCCGGGGAUAACAGGCUGAUACCGCCCAAGAGUUCAUAUCGACGGCGGUGUUUGGCACCUCGAUGUCGGCUCAUCACAUCCUGGGGCUGAAGUAGGUCCCAAGGGUAUGGCUGUUCGCCAUUUAAAGUGGUACGCGAGCUGGGUUUAGAACGUCGUGAGACAGUUCGGUCCCUAUCUGCCGUGGGCGCUGGAGAACUGAGGGGGGCUGCUCCUAGUACGAGAGGACCGGAGUGGACGCAUCACUGGUGUUCGGGUUGUCAUGCCAAUGGCACUGCCCGGUAGCUAAAUGCGGAAGAGAUAAGUGCUGAAAGCAUCUAAGCACGAAACUUGCCCCGAGAUGAGUUCUCCCUGAGACUUAGAGUCUCCUGAAGGAACGUUGAAGACGACGACGUUGAUAGGCCGGGUGUGUAAGCGCAGCGAUGCGUUGAGCUAACCGGUACUAAUGAACCGUGAGGCUUAACCUUACAACGCCGAAG